AUUGAACGCUGGCGGCAGGCCUAACACAUGCAAGUCGAGCGAGCGGCGGGCGGGUGAGUAAUAUGUGGAGAUCUCCCCGAUAGAGGGGGAUAAAUACUGGAAACGGUGGCAAAUACCGCAUACUAUCGGGUGCACCCAUAUGGGAUUCGCUAGUAGGUGGGGUAAAGUCUCACCUAGGCGACGAUCUCUAGCUGGUCUGAGAGGAUGAUCAGCCACACUGGGACUGAGACACGGCCCAGACUCCUACGGGAGGCAGCAGUGGGGAAUAUUGCACAAUGGGCGCAAGCCUGAUACAGCCAUGCCGCGUGUAUGAAGAAGGCCUUAGGGUUGUAAAGUACUUUCAGCGGGGAGGCGUUACCCGCAGAAGAAGCACCGGCUAACUCCGUGCCAGCAGCCGCGGUAAUAC
This 406-nucleotide ribosomal RNA is filed under the name uncultured bacterium. RNAcentral describes it as "partial 16S ribosomal RNA". It matches the Rfam family "Bacterial small subunit ribosomal RNA", at positions 30 to 526 of the family's 1533-position model. The record is from RNAcentral.